This 610-nucleotide unclassified non-coding RNA is filed under the name Hevea brasiliensis (rubber tree). Lineage: Eukaryota; Viridiplantae; Streptophyta; Magnoliopsida; Malpighiales; Euphorbiaceae. The record is from RNAcentral.
GGGGGGUGGUGUUGUUCACCAACAUUUCUAGAUAGGUUAAUUUAGUUUCAAAAAAUAAACGCCUGUGUAUCACGAGCAAAACCAUUAAAUAUAUAAAUAAAGAUUAAGGAAAAGACAAUUUCUACAUGACCAAUAGAUGAAAACCCUUCUUAAAAGCAUAAGAUCGUCAUCUAUAAAAUAGAACGCAUUCAGAAAUUGAAGGGUUGUAUUUAGAGAGCAGAUUUCAAAUAGAAAACUGUAAUGCUUCUUAAUACGUUUCUAUCCAGUUAGCAAACUUCAUGCAGAAAACUAUAUUGCUUCUUAAUAAAUUAAAGCAGGUUUUAUUCUUGGUCAUAAUGUUCAAAGAAUAGUCAUCAUAAGCAUGCUAUGUUGCUUAUAGAACAUCUAUUCCAUAAAAAUACUCAUGCUAAGGUAGCAUAUCCAUUCCCAACAAGGCAACAAUCCAAAGAAAGUUCAAAUAUUUAGUUAACUGGGUUGUAGAGUAGUGAAAUGCAAGUUUAUUUCAUGUUUUGAAAUAUGCAAAACAAGCAAAUUUUUCUCUCUAGAAGCCAGAUUCUUCAUCUUGCAUUCAAGAGACUAAAUGGGCAGGAGAGAAAAGCAAGGAAGUGGG